AGAAUCAACGCUGGCGGCGUGCCUAACACAUGCAAGUCGAUCGAGAAAGUGGAGCAAUCCAUGAGUAAAGAGGCGCACGGGUGAGUAACACGUGACUAACCUACCCUCGAGUGGGGAAUAACCUGGGGAAACCCGGGCUAAUACCGCAUAAUACCCACGGGUCAAAGGAGCAAUUCGCUUGAGGAGGGGUCGCGGCAGAUUAGUUAGUUGGCGGGGUAAUGGCCCACCAAGACGAUGAUCUGUAUCCGGCCUGAGAGGGCGCACGGACACACUGGAACUGAAACACGGUCCAGACUCCUACGGGAGGCAGCAGUGGGAAUUUUGCGCAAUGGGGGAAACCCUGACGCAGCAACGCCGCGUGGAGGAUGAAGUCCCUUGGGACGUAAACUCCUUUCGACCGGGACGAUAAGUGACGGUACCGGAUGAAGAAGCCCCGGCUAACUUCGCGCCAGCAGCCGC
Molecule: ribosomal RNA, 459 nt
Filed under: uncultured bacterium
Lineage: Bacteria
Description: SSU rRNA
Rfam family: Bacterial small subunit ribosomal RNA
Source: RNAcentral